AAUUUAUUUCUCUUCCCCCUGUAGCAGAAACUGGCUUGUCUCAUCUUUAAUAAAUCAGAAUCAGGUAUUAUCUUGCUGCUGCUACACCUGAUUAUAUGAAAUUUCACCUUUUAUAAUUCAUAUCAACUAUUUUCACAUAUGCAAAUUCUGAUAAUAAGAAUUAAUCCAAAAUGAUAGUCCUAGAAUCAUGACAUACCUCCUUGCACAUGGGUCGGCGUAGCAGACAGGCGAGAGAGAAUGCCAGGUGCAUCGUACGAGUGUUUCCUCCCAAGGUUUCUUCAGUAGGGCAAUGAGGAUGGCAUCUUGCUCGUGCUUCCUCUUUGCUCAUGGUGAAAGUGUCGGCUAUGGGCCAGAGUGCCCUGGGCAAAUCCAGAUGCAUUUGAUAAUGUAUCAAUCAAUCUUUUAUGCAAGUCACAAGAUGUAGCCUCGCCAGUCUAGGGCCUAGAUCCACCCCAAUUUACACUAGUAUAAGAAGUAGUGCCAAAAAAAGGGAGUAGAUGAUAAUAAAAAUGCAAUGGUAGUGAACACAACUACUACAAAUAUCUUCCAUCAACAUAUAUUGAGUCUAAUUAUUACAUUUGUGAUUGUCCGUCCCUAUAACAUGUAUUGCACAUAGCAUUUAUAUACUCAUCUCAUGACAGUUUGGCAUUUGUCUGUCCAAGAAGUGCAUGCAUAUGAAGUGUUGCACUGUUACUGGUAUGUAUUGUCCAAAAUACCAUAAUCUUGGUGUGUAUGUGCAAAAUACCAUAAUUUCAGGAAGAAAAAACAUUCCUAGCAUGCUUGUGCAACUCCGUACCGAGGAAGAAUGAUAAGGCUAAAACAAAUGAAUUGUGUCCUAUUGAUGUGAGCAAAAAUAGUUAAGCCUCUAGUGCUAUGACUGGUAUACCAAUUGGCUAUUUUAUACAUUUGUGUCGUAAUAUAUUGUUUUGUGUUAUUUCUGCAUGUUGGCAUUCGUUAUGCCAACCAAGUUCAGAUAGCAGUUCUUUAGUUGGGUUUGGCACUCCGAGUAGGAGAUGAACUAUACACUGCAUUUGAAGUCCAUCUGCAUCUGUUACCGAAUGAAUAAAAUGUGACAGUGGAUGUUCAGCUUUUUAUAUUUCCCCCGCUAAUUAUGAAGCUAGGUGGUCAUUAUGGCACGGCUCUCAGUUAUAUAAGGAUGAACUGCAAAAUAUUAUCACACAUAUACCUUCUACAUUUCUGUCCAAUAAGCUUGUUUUCCGAAUCAAGAUGAGUAUUAGAACUCUGCGACAAAAAAAUUAUUUCUCCUCUAGUUGGUAGAAGAAACUGGCUUGUUUCAUACUGUAUUAAAUAAAUCAAAAUCGGCCAUUAUCUUGCUGCUGCUACACUUGAUUAUAUGAAAUUUUACCUUCUACAAUUCAAAUAAUAUAUUUUUCACACAUUCAAUUCUGAUAAUUAAUAUUAAACCAAAAUGAUAGCCCUAGAAGGCUAGAAUCAUGACAUACCUUCCUUGCACACGGGUCGGCGUAGCAGAUAGGCGAGAGGGAAUACCAGGUUUCCUGCAAAGGUUUCUUCACUAGGGCGACGAGGAUGGGAUCUCACUCAGGCUUCCUCACCUAUUUGCUCAUGGAGAAUGUGGGGCCAGAGUGCCCUAGGCAUAAUCCAGAUGGAAUCGAUGAUGUACAAUCAGUCUUUUCUGCAAGUGGUAGGCACACAAAAAAAGGAGUACUCCCUCCGUCCCAUAAUAUAAGAACGUUUUUUACACUACACUAGUGUCAGUAGAUGAUAACACGUUGGUAGCGAACAUAACUGCUAAAAACAUCUGCCUUCAUUCACUCUACUUGCCUACCGGCAUGAUCUCUAGUACGAUGUGAGCCUUGAGGCUUCCAAUGCUAAAAUUUGGAACUGAAAACUUGGAACUUUUCAGUAGUUUCAGAGUUGAUCUGCUCCCUGUUGACUCUGUUGUUCUGAUGAAGUGAGGUGCUUGGUUGCAACCUCGGCCUGGCUCCCCCACCCGACAUGCCUUGCUCCCUGGUACAAGGGGGGAAAUGAAGACAUUAUAUCGCAGUAACAAAGAAGUGUGCAGGGAAGAAUUGCUUGAUUACUUAUAAGGUAGAGUUUCAUGGCCAAAAUAAGUUGGUGGCAGCAUAAUGAGCAGACUCACCAGUCUCAUCUACACCCUGAUAGAGGGCAAAAGAAGAUACACAAACAUCACAAAAGGGACGGAAAUUCACCAAAACAACCGGGUCUGUCUAACGGAUUGAGAAAAGAAGAGAGAUUUACUGGCGCACCAACAUGAACCAUACAGUGAGAAAGAUUCAAUCUUUAUCGGCCAGACAAACGAGGUGACACUCGUGGGGUGGGAAAAAACCUAAAUAAGUAGUAGAUUCAGGAGAUUGAGACAAAGGCCGAGGAAAUUUGCAAGAUCCAGCAGGCGAAUUGCAGUCCGUGGGGGAGGCCAGGAAAUUCACUCACCAAUCACAACAGGCAAAUUCAUCAUCUGCUAAGAUUGAGGAGCAAGACAAAUUGACACCCAUCACAACUCCGUAGACCGAGAUGUGGCCAAAGGAGAUGUCCAUGGCGGCUUAGGGUUGGUGCGGAUGGCCAAAGGAGUUGUGCAUGGCGGCUAGGGUUGGUGCGGAUUGGGACUCAGCAACAGGGAGGGGAAAACACAAGAAGAAACGAACUAUG
RNAcentral lists this long non-coding RNA (2649 nucleotides) under Triticum aestivum (bread wheat). RNAcentral's name for it is "long non-coding RNA (TAES_LNC015814)". Lineage: Eukaryota; Viridiplantae; Streptophyta; Magnoliopsida; Poales; Poaceae. The record is from RNAcentral.